This is a non-coding RNA of Osmia lignaria (orchard mason bee), 6052 nucleotides long. The record is from RefSeq and is a predicted model, not a curated record. Lineage: Eukaryota; Metazoa; Arthropoda; Insecta; Hymenoptera; Megachilidae.
AUCGGCGACCUGGUGUCGGAUGGAUGAGACGCUAGACGCCGGUGUAUUCAGACGCGGUUGAAACGAGGACGAGGUUAAGUCGCGCGGUUUGCGUCGGCAACCAGCAAUAGAGGUAUCUUUAAAACCUCUUGCGUCGAAAAAAUAAAUCCACGGAAAUAAUCCAUUUUGAGAAGAACCUGUACAACAUCCCUGAAGACAAUUAGAAAAACCACGAGUGUAUAGAGGUCCAGCCUUUCAUCCCACUUUCCAGUGGAACUGUUUCUAAGUCAUAACAAUACAAACCAUGCAGUUUGACCCUGGUAGCUCGUUGGCGUAACGAUAAACAAUGAGAACUGCUUGCUUUGACCUCAACCUUUUGUUAUUCGUGACAUCGCAUCGGUGGACAGUAUUAUGCGUAAAACUUUGCUUCUCUUUCAAAAUGUCUUAUUUUCCUCUAUGUUCAUCAUUAGAGAUGAAUAUGUAUGUAUCAAAUUAUCAACGAACAACAAUUUCAUUAUAACGAAAUAAACACGUUAUGCUGUUGAAGGAAUAAUGUUUGGAGGCCUAAAUGUGUUCCAUAGCAAUGCCAACCGAGCUGCUUCUGGGGCAUAGUCCUCCAGUGUACAGCCCGCUUCUGUACAGUCCCCUGGUAGUAACGGCACCACCGAUUACCAGCAGGUCGGUGCCACCCAGGAUCAGGCCAUGUCUGUCGUCUGGUUCCCUGGCUAUCGAUAGUAUACGAAACAACAACGAUGGCAAUAAUAAGCAGAAAAAGAAGGUGGUGUUUGCUGACGAUCGUGGCCGUCCUCUUACUCAGGUCCGGGUAAUGUCGGAACCUAGCAACGUACCACCACUUUGGAGUACAGCAUACCUGUCCGGAUUAACUGGACGACUUUUAAAUUCAAAAGUAGAAAAUGACGAGCCCAGCGAGCUUAUGUCACCGUGGCAAGUUACGUUUCCCCAACCAGCCAGCGAUUAUCUUGCCUUUCGUCGGAAACUGGAUCAGGAAAAUGUCAGUUUAGAGAACGUGAUAGUAAAAGAAUCGGAACAGUGCAUCGUGGGCACUGUGAAGGUACGAAAUUUGGCGUACGACAAGGAAGUGGUGGUCAGAGCGAGCAACGAUUCUUGGAAGACCCACGAGGAUGUACAUUGUACUUACGUUGAACAACCUGGCGUUCCAGCUUUAAUUCUUUACGACACUUUCCGUUUUCGAUUAACUCUACCAUUAACAUCGAACGUAGUUGAGUUUUGUGUACGAUAUCGUACAGAUGGCAAGGAAUAUUGGGACAAUAACGACGGGACAAACUAUGUCGUUCGCAAAAAGCUAGAGCCUAGGGCACCACCGAAAAGGUACGAUAUUCUGACAACUUCCUGUGACGGAUUCUCGAACAACGGUGCACGGGACAACAUAACUCGAAUCACAGACGCGACAAGAGCGAAUAUGCGCACAUGGAGCGAAUUCGCGUCCUGGCAGCAUCUUACAAACGACACCCCGUACUGGUGAAUCUUCUUCAAGGACUCUCGUUAAGCGAUGUACGAAGUCGUACGAAUUCUUCCAGUUUACUUGGUUAAUCAGCGAGGCGUAGAUCACGCGGGACGAGGUGUUCUCACUACGUACACAACACGACACACGGAAAAGGAUGGUGUGUCACGACUGGACACCAGGAAUAGGGGAACGGAGAAGAGAAUAUUGACGAAAGAAGGGAAGCAAUCAAUUACGAUUCAUUUCACUUUGUAAAAGGACAUGCUUGCGCGGAAGGGAUACAUAAUCGGAGCUCGAUAGCGCGGAACAUAUGGGAAGGAGGCAAUGGUCGCGUUACAUUUAUGAUUGCAACGUGCAGCCAUCAACGCGUACAGAUAACAGUAGCCGUGCGAGACAACAGAUUAUUUCAAGAUCAGAUCAGAUCAGAUCAGAUUGGAUGGAUGAUUAGAAUUCUUAAAGCUUCCCUGACUCUACAAAUUCGAAGAUAUCGCCAUAAACGUCUUCUUCUCGAUCGUCAUCUUCCUUCUCCUCCUCUUCCUCUUUCCUGGAACUUGGCUGCCAUAGCCGAGGAUGUCCAUCAAGAUAAGUUUGCACCUUCAAAGUUGACCAAAUCUCGCUGGUCUCGCCCGUUCCUCUUUCUCUUUCUCUUUCUCUUUCUCUAAUUCUGUUGUCCCCGUUUUUAUGCCUUUCUUUCUUUCUUUCUUUCUUUCUCUUUCUUUGCUUAUUUUCUCUCUUUCUAUCUUUUUCUUUUUCUCUCUCUUUGCCUGUUACUUCUUUCAAUUCGUUUCAAACGUCGUACGAAUUCAAUACCUUUUUCUUUUUGGGCAUGAUCUUUGGAUUAUCAACGCGAGGUAACACAACAGCUUAGCUCAACGAUAAACAGUAAUUAAGAAGGGAUUAAGGAAAUGAAAAGAGACUACUGCGAGCGGUUUCAAACGCAACGGUCAAUCGUCAUUGAUCAUUUUAUUAAAAGAUCAAUGAAAAAAGCUACCUAUGAUCCGUAUUACAAAUUUAUUUAUAUCGACAAUAUGGAAUAAGAAAUAUAAAAUAACUGAAUGACGGUAUCCUUAAUAAUAAUUAUUAUUGUAUAUUGGUUAUGGCGGUCAACAAGAUUGUGUUAUUAUAUGCGUGACACGUUGCAAAUGUAACCGCUCGCAGGAACAAUUAUAAAAGUAAUUUGUUUCCGUGAAAGUAAUACCGUAUCGUUACCGUAAUUGUAUAUAGGUGUAAUUAUAAGAGAAGAAAAAAGAAAGGCCCGUUACCUUCCGAUGCGGGGAAUUACUAUAUGUUUUUGUUAUUUCACCGGUGCUAACUGCUGUCUCUUUAUUCAAAUGAUUUACGGAAUAACAACGUAAAGAGGCUAAAGUUACACGCGAUGUUAUUACGUUUGUAUCAAUCUCGUAUUGGUUGUUAUCGUCUGAUAAAUUGGUAUCAGUUACCACGGUUAUAGAAAUAGUCUCCUCGCGUGUCUCGAUUUCUGUACGACAAAUUAGCUGACAAUUAGGCGCGUCGAUACACUCUCUCUUCGUGUGUACAAUCUUUUCUUAUAAUCUUCAAUUUCAUAACGUUCAUUUUAUGGAUAACUUAACGUCGUGCUCGUAUCGUGGACACUAUUAAUUUGUGAUCAGAUGUUUCCAUGGACAGACUAAAAAUAGCACUUAAUCAACCAACAUUUUAUAAUCAUAAUCAAAAAUUGAAAAAAGAAACAUAUUUAUAUAAUUAAAAUUUAUUUUCAAAUAGUUCCGUGACACGUGUGUACUGCCAUGAGAAAAAACAAGAAGUUGCACAUCUUCAUUGAAAUUAGGAAAACUUUAUCAAUAGGAAUGAAUAUUCUUUUUGCUGCAUCCCAACUAAGAAAUUUUGAUUUACUAUCUUUCGCUUUAUUCUCUGUACUGUUUCUUCACCAAGUACAAAUCAUCGCAUGAUGGAAUGCAUGUCAUCGUAGUAUAUCUUUAUGUACGACCAGUUCGUAUGUGAAACAGUACAUGCACUCCCUCCUUUGACUUUUCUUGCCUCAAUUGUUGUAUUCGAAUAAACACUCAGGAAACGAGAUUUUCUUUGCAGGGACGUUGGCGUGUGAUGAUGACGAUUAUCUCGAGAUUGCGAGGAAAAGGACUGCGGGAAUGGACUCAGGAUAGGAGGGAGGGCAUCGAAUUAUAGUGUAUACGGGUGCGAUUAGGGAUCCUUUCAAAUCUGGGAACCACUGGAAAACUGACUACUACUACGACUACUACUACUACUACUACUACUACUACCACCAUCGCUACUACUACUGCUACUACUUUAGAAGCUAAUCACACGAUCCAGCUUAGACGUCUUUCAGUCAAUUUUUGCCUACUAUCAACAGCACCCAACCUCACUGAAAGGAGAGCAGUCUCUUCAUUGUUGAUGCCCUCUGUGUAAAAUUGAAGACAGAGGCAACACUCAGAAUGAUCUACUUAUUGAACUUAAAGUUGUUCCUCGCUGUACAUCAAUCCCUUCUGUGUCAUCAUGGUUAUUCUCGACAAUCUAAUACUCUUUUUUUCUUUUUUUUUUGUACUGUAUCUUGUACUCGAUUCAUUCCAGAUAUUGUACAGAAAAUCGUUUGCCAUUAAUAAAGUAGUUUAGUGAAGGAAGAAUAUUUCGAACGACUGAAUGUACAUAUAUAGAAGAAUCAAAAUCGAAGAAAAGCAAAUUAUUCUUCGAUAGUUUAUUCGUUUAUAUACUCGUAUACGUAUGUAAAUAAUACUGGCUCCUGAUAUUAAUUAUUUAAAUGGGAUUUAAUUUAGGUGAAAACAAUAACGACUUAUAUGUUUAAUGUCCUUUAGAGUGCAAUAGAGCUUUCUUCUUUCUUUCUCUUUCUUUCUUUGUAUAUAUAUAUGUAUAUGCAUCGCGAUAUAUUGUAUAUUAAUAGCGAUAGAUAAAUCGCAACGAGUUCAACGAACGGAGGGAAGCGCGUUGCACCGGUUUUAAUUCGCGUUUCAGCUAGCAGAGUUUAGCAAGCCUUCGAAAACGCCGUUAGGAUACUUCCGUGUCACAUUGCGUCCAAUAUAAUUAGAUGUAUUGUGUUCAUUUCACGUGAAUAACACCGUGCCGAGUAAGCGAAUAUGUUAAGAUAAAAUCUACAUUUGUACACGCUUAAACUGUUGCGCUGCGCUCGUUUGAAGAAAGGAGAGUUUCAACCAGUACUGUCAAACGUUAAAGUUUAAAAAAUUUAUCUACUUUAGUAAGCAAUCUAGGGAGAGGCCAAUACUAGGCGGUACUUGUUGGAAUUCUUCAACUAUUUUAUAGAUUAAUCGUUUGAAUGCUCUCAUAACGCGCUCACUUUGUGCUUAUCAAUUAUAAGAAUGUCUCAAAGUCAGUUUCAAGAAUUAUACAUAUUUUGACACGAACUAGUGGCAUUCAAACGGUGAAGUAAAUUCGUGCAACGUAAAAAAAGAGUAAUCGCUACUUACAAUACAACAAGGUCGUUACUUAAACCCUGAAGGAGCGAUGUACUAACAUAAGUGAUAUAAGGAUACUCAGGACCACAUACAGUGUUCUGUUUUAAGGGGUUCCAUUUUAAUACAUAUUGCUUGGAACACGUUUACACUUUACGAAACAUUUCCUAAAUUGCUCUUUCAUGUACCUUUGCCUCUUGAAGGCUUUCACGAUCUUGUUACGUUUUGUGGCGGCGACUAUUUUCACGAAGCUCCUUAAGAAUAAAUUUGCCUAGAUAUUUAAUAUAGUAAAGCGAGAUUAUUAACGAACACACGCAUAUAUAUAUAUACACACACACACACACAAACGAAAUGCGUUAUUUAAAUGUAGAAUUUCCUUUUGAGAGCCGUAAGACUGAUAACUUAACGCGGACCGCACAGGCUGUUGUAUAUAUAGUAUAUUAAUAAGAUGCGAGGCCGAAUUUCCGUAAAGCUUAACGACGCGAUUGAAACGUUUUUUUUAUUAGAAAAUUAUACGAUCGUUUCUUUUGAUCACGUCGAUGAGUUUUAUUGAAAGUUUUAUUCCUCAAAUUAGGGCACAUCCGGCGUUAAGUUGAUUCGUUAAAGUUCGUUUAAGGCUUUGCGAAAAUGUGAAAAAAGUUCCCGAAAAGAAAUUAAUAUAUCUUGGCUAGUUGUCAAACGUUACUUCGCGUUGUGAUUUUUUUUUUGUUAAAUAUAUGUAUUUCUCCCUUUUAUUGUAUAAUAAUUGUAAUAUUUGAAGCCUGAGUAUAGUCUAGAUAGAUUUAUGAUAAUAACAAUAAUAAUGUUAUCAGUUACUUGAUCGAUUUUUCUUUUUUUUUUUUAAUUAGUAUAUAACACGACUGCGAAUUUAUCAUUAUAUGAACGCGUUUUAUUCUUUGUAUAUGUAUACAAACGUCUGUUAUUGAAAAUUGUAAAUAUUCUAACGUGUUAUGUACUAUAUAUAUACAAUAUAUAUACACAUAUAUAUUUAGAGCGAUUAGAAAUAUUUUUUAGGUGGGAAUCAUUAUGUGCCGUAGAAGUUAUUAUUCUUAAGAUCGCGACAAAAGAGAAAUGCGUAAGACGAAAGGUACUAAACUAGAUAGGCUUUAGAAAUUAUGUUUCAUUAUUGAUGAUACAUAUUAGAAGAAAAUAUAUACGUAUACACAUAAAA